GCAACUAACAUCGUCUUCGAUAAAAUUGGAACGAUACAAAGAAAAUUAGAAAAUUAGCAUGGCCCUUGCUGACACGCACAAAUCGAGAAAUAGUUCAAAUGUUU
This is a small nuclear RNA of Lactuca sativa (garden lettuce), 104 nucleotides long. NCBI's taxonomy places the organism in Eukaryota, Viridiplantae, Streptophyta, Magnoliopsida, Asterales, Asteraceae. The record is from RefSeq and is a predicted model, not a curated record.